GAAUUGUUCGCAAUGGGCGCAAGCCUGACGACGCAACGCCGCGUGGAGGAUGAAGACCUUCGGGUCGUAAACUCCUUUCGACCGAGAUGAACACCUGCCGACCUAAUACGUCGGCAGGCUGACAGUAUCGAGGGAAGAAGCCCCGGCUAACUCCGUGCCAGCAGCCGCGGUAAUACGGGGGGGGCAAGCGUUGUCCGGAAUUACUGGGCGUAAAGGGUUCGUAGGUGGCCGACUAAGUCAGACGUGAAAUCCCUCAGCUCAACUGGGGAACUGCGUCUGAGACUGGCCGGCUUGAGUGCAGGAGAGGAACGCGGAAUUCCAGGUGUAGCGGUGAAAUGCGUAGAUAUCUGGAGGAACACCGGUGGCGAAGGCGGCGUUCUGGACUGCUACUGACACUGAGGAACGAAAGCCAGGGGAGCAAACGGG
This 426-nucleotide ribosomal RNA is filed under the name uncultured bacterium. Its description in RNAcentral is "bacterial SSU rRNA". It matches the Rfam family "Bacterial small subunit ribosomal RNA", at positions 359 to 776 of the family's 1533-position model. The record is from RNAcentral.